RNAcentral lists this long non-coding RNA (828 nucleotides) under Ananas comosus (pineapple). Its description in RNAcentral is "long non-coding RNA (ACOM_LNC024727)". The record is from RNAcentral. Lineage: Eukaryota; Viridiplantae; Streptophyta; Magnoliopsida; Poales; Bromeliaceae.
AAAUAUCACAUAAGUUUAUUAUUACUGUACUAUUAAAAGCACAAUAGCCCGCGUACUUCUAAAUUUCUAAUUAUUUAUUAAUUUUGAUGAAUAAUUAGAAUAAAAAAAAAAAUUUAUCAAUUUCUCUUUUUUUUUAAAAAUUAUUUCUAAUUUUCUUUUCUUCCUCAUCCUAACCAUUCAUCAAAAUUGAUGAACGGUUAGAAACUUAAAAGCAUAAGAACUGCUAUGUUUCUAAUAGCACAAUAUCCCUACUAUAUAUAUAUGAAGUUGGGCUGAAAUACUAUUGAUAGUAUUUGGCCUCUUUGACUAUCAAGUUUUUAAUCCUUGAACGAGAAAUUGUAGAGUUAUGAUAAUAUUAGUCUCUUAAGGUUAACUAGUUUUCACUAUGUUAUAAUAUUUAAUCUAAUGAUUAGAAAUGAUUAAAAAAACUGAUCCAAAAGCUAAAAAGUUUGAUAGCAAAAAAGGGCAAACACUAUUAAUAGCAUUCUCACUCAGAUCUAUAUAUAUGAAUUUGGCUACUAUACAAUCGAUAGUACAAAGUGUUUAGUGCUAUCAAAUUUUCCGUCAUUAGAUCUAUUUUUUUGACCAUUUUCAUCUAUUAGAUCAUACUAUUCAAUCAACCAUCCACUCAAUUCUAAGGGAACCAAUAUCAUUCUAACCGCAUAUUCCUUCAUCCAAUAGUCGUGUGUUAUUAAUAGUAUGGUAAUCUAAUUCUAUAUAUAUAUAUACAUACAUUUCUUUUUCAAAACUUAUGCGGCCAUAAACACACAAAUCAUACAAAUUAAUAAGUUUGAUAGUGAAAAUAAAAGUUUGGAUGAUUAGAUAGUC